RNAcentral lists this unclassified non-coding RNA (430 nucleotides) under uncultured fungus. RNAcentral describes it as "partial contains ITS1, 5.8S rRNA and ITS2". Lineage: Eukaryota; Fungi. The record is from RNAcentral.
AACGCAUAUUGCACUUCCGGGCUCGUCCUGGAGGUAUGUCUAUAUCAGUGCCCGUCACUAAAAUGUUUUGUUUUUUCGUAAGAGAAUGCAAACGACUGUGAAGGUAAUUGCUUGUCAAUUUCCUUUUAAAUGACAUUCCCUGUGCAACAAUGUAUCAAGUACAUUAUCUAAAGGGCAAUAUGAAUCUAUCUUUGAAUGCUUUGUGACGUGAUCAUGGGCUUUUGACAAAGAAAUAGAUCGUGGUAGCUUUUUUACCCUUGUGGUAGGAGACUUAUUGCGGUGGACUUUCUGCGGAUAUAAAGUUUGUGGUUAAAUAUGAAGCGUUUAAGACGGAGUUAUAUUAUCUGGUGUAUUUGAUGUUGUAUGGAAGCAAGUGGGUAAAUAUUCCAACUUGGUCCUGAUAUUAGACAAGACUACCCGCUGAACUUAA